RNAcentral lists this ribosomal RNA (523 nucleotides) under uncultured bacterium. RNAcentral's name for it is "bacterial SSU rRNA". It matches the Rfam family "Bacterial small subunit ribosomal RNA", at positions 8 to 526 of the family's 1533-position model. The record is from RNAcentral.
AGGGUUCGAUCAUGGCUCAGGAUGAACGCUAGCGGCAGGCUUAACACAUGCAAGUCGAGGGGUAACAGGAGUGCUUGCACUCGCUGACGACCGGCGCACGGGUGCGUAACGCGUAUAGAACCUACCUUUUACUGAGGGAUAGCCUUUAGAAAUGAAGAUUAAUACCUCAUGGUAUUGCAAUUUGGCAUCAGAUUGUAAUUAAAGAUUUAUUGGUAAAAGAUGGCUAUGCGUCUUAUUAGCUAGAUGGUAAGGUAACGGCUUACCAUGGCAACGAUAAGUAGGGGCCCUGAGAGGGGGAUCCCCCACACUGGUACUGAGACACGGACCAGACUCCUACGGGAGGCAGCAGUGAGGAAUAUUGGGCAAUGGAGGCAACUCUGACCCAGCCAUGCCGCGUGCAGGAAGACUGCCCUAUGGGUUGUAAACUGCUUUUAUACAGGAAGAAACACACCUACGUGUAGGUGCUUGACGGUACUGUAAGAAUAAGCACCGGCUAACUCCGUGCCAGCAGCCGCGGUAAUUC